Molecule: ribosomal RNA, 253 nt
Filed under: uncultured bacterium
Lineage: Bacteria
Description: partial 16S ribosomal RNA
Rfam family: Bacterial small subunit ribosomal RNA
Source: RNAcentral
UACGGAGGGAGCUAGCGUUGUUCGGAAAUACUGGGCGUAAAGCGCACGUAGGCGGCUUUGUAAGUUAGAGGUGAAAGCCCGGGGCUCAACUCCGGAAUUGCCUUUAAGACUGCAUCGCUAGAAUUGUGGAGAGGUAAGUGGAAUUCCGAGUGUAGAGGUGAAAUUCGUAGAUAUUCGGAAGAACACCAGUGGCGAAGGCGACUUACUGGACACAUAUUGACGCUGAGGUGCGAAAGCGUGGGGAGCAAACAGG